Molecule: long non-coding RNA, 308 nt
Organism: Hemicordylus capensis (graceful crag lizard)
Lineage: Eukaryota; Metazoa; Chordata; Lepidosauria; Squamata; Cordylidae
Exons: 3
Source: RefSeq, a predicted model, not a curated record
AAAAGCCUCUGAAAUUGUCUGGAUGUGUUCCUUGGUUCAUUGCAGGGCGAGGAUUCAUCCCCUCCUGGAGUUUCCCAAAGAGAGAAGCAUUAGUCUUCUUCAUCUUUCUUUAUCUGUCAGUGAUCUCAGGAGAGUAACAGCCCUGGAGACAGCCUGAUGCCAGCUAGCAACAAAGAGUGCAAAGUGCUUUAUGAUCACGUAGCCCCACAAGAAUCCUGUGAGCCAACACAGACUGAAAGACAGUGUGUCAUUAUCUUGAACAAGGCAAAGCAAGGAUCUGAUUGUGAGCAAUUAAGGUUGGAUUGGAU